UAAAAAGCAAUGAAGAGACGAGUAGAUAAUUUUAUUCUUUCAGUGAAUUAGCGUUAGUGAGAAGCUAGUAGACCCUGAAUUAUCGAAUAACACUUUUCCGCUGUGCUGCUAGCCUAAAUUAAAGUAAGCUACGCCGUCAUCGGUACGUUAUCAAGCCGAAGAGCAUGAUUGUGUUCUAUUAAGCUGGUCUAUUUUUAGACAAUUUAGGUGGUACCGCGGAAAAAAGCCUUUCGUCCUGAGA
This 241-nucleotide non-coding RNA is filed under the name Lactobacillus johnsonii. RNAcentral describes it as "T-box sequence". It matches the Rfam family "T-box leader". From Rfam's summary of the family: Uncharged tRNA acts as the effector for transcription antitermination of genes in the T-box leader family. T-boxes are found upstream of many aminoacyl-tRNA synthetase genes and some amino acid biosynthetic genes usually in Gram-positive bacteria. The record is from RNAcentral. Lineage: Bacteria; Bacillati; Bacillota; Bacilli; Lactobacillales; Lactobacillaceae.